AGUCUCUAAGGUGCCACAAGUACUCCUUUUCUUUUUACUAAUGCACACUGAGCUUCGCUGGCUGUCGUGUGGCAAAGUGCUGACAUGACUCUUUGAGCUGCACAGCGAGCUUCAAUUUUUUUUCACUGAUCACUACCCCUUUGCACUGUCAUCUUGUUUGGAAGAUGCUGCCUGGCUUCAGCGAUUAGCCUACUUGGCAGACAUUUUUUCUUGCCUCAACGAGCUCAAUUUUGGCCUUCAGGGCUUAAGCACCACUAUUUUCUAAACACAAGACAAAAUCGAAUCCAUGAUUAAGAAACUACUAUUUUGGGAUAGUUGCUUAAAGAGAAAUGUGAUUGACUGCUUUCCAACACUGCAAGAAUUUCUUGCAACAAAUUACAAUAUGUUGUUACAUGAGAGUGUGAAAGCUGACAUUAUGGAACACUUGCAACAACUUACCAAACAACUAAGAAAGUAUUUCCCCAAAAUGGACAAUGCAAAUUCCUGGAUAUGCAAUCCCUUUAAGGUGCCUGAAUCUCUCCCAGUUCCUCCUCUGCCAGUGCAUGAGCAGGAGAAACUUUUAGAUCUCUCUUGUGACGGUGGUCUUAAAUUAGAAUUUGCAUGCAAACCUUUGGCAGACUUCUGGGUGCAAAGGAUGAAAGAUUACCCAUACCUGUCAAAACGAGCUGUCAAGUUUCUGAUGCCCUUCUCCACAACAUACUUUUGUGAGACUGGAUUCUCUGCCCUCAUGGCGAUCGAGACAAAGUAUCCUCAGAGAUUAAAUGCUGAAAAUGACUUGUGAGUGAAGCUCUCUCCAAUUUUCCCUGCCAUCAGUGAUUUGUGUGAUAAAAAGCAAGGACAUCCAUCACACUGAUAGCAUCUUGCCCAUUUUAUUGGUACUUCCCACCUGGAGACCCAGGUUGGUGCAAUUCCUACUCCAGGGGAAGGAGCCAUUCCAAGAUUAAAGGAAAGUCAGAAUAGGAACCAGGACCUAGCAGUGAUCAAACCAGUUUCUGAAUGAACCCAAAGCACAUCUCUGAAAGUCUCUUCCUUACCCAUACAUUCAGCUCGGAGUUGCAUUCCCAGAAUGGUGUUCUGCAAAAUGGCGGCCUUCUACGUCAAUUCAUUAUUUUUGUUAAUUGUCGUUGACAGUUUAAUAACUUCUGAAGUUAUUUCAGCUUCCUAGCGACUGGAUGCCAUGACUAGAAACCCCUUGUGCUCCACAGUUUCCCUGCAUUAUGGAGUCUUACCCUUUGAAGAGGAAGCUGCAGGUGAUCAGUAUGUCAAACAGGAGGAACUUCAGCAACAACACUCUGAUGGCCAAGAGAAGCAGGAUUUGUGAAUGGACGGGCAGAGCUGAAACAGAUGGGAUCACGUACCUGAUCAGAACCUGGGGUGCCACACAGAAAAAUUACCAGUGGUCCCUAUUGGGACUGUGUAUGGCCGCAGUGCCCAACCUUAUUACACAAGAGGGCCACAUAAACCUAAGCACAACCUUGUUCGGGCCAAACAGCUUCCACAUAUUUUAAUAAGAUUUAAAGUAACCUGUAUUGAUUUAUAUUUUUUAAGUUCUCUUGUUUCAUAUAUAUUUAGAUAGGUUGUUUCUGUGUACAGUAUUGUCUAUUCACACUCUCGUGUAAACUAAAAAGAUGUAAACAUGA
Molecule: long non-coding RNA, 1640 nt
Organism: Caretta caretta (loggerhead turtle)
Lineage: Eukaryota; Metazoa; Chordata; Testudines; Cheloniidae
Source: RefSeq, a predicted model, not a curated record